GAUGAACGCUGACAGAAUGCUUAACACAUGCACGUCAACUGUGGCGGACGGGUGAGUAACGCGUAAAGAACUUGCCUCACAGCUAGGGACAACAUUUGGAAACGAAUGCUAAUACCUGAUACUGUGAGAGAGCUUUCCGUCCCAUUAGCUAGUUGGAGAGGUACAGGCUCACCAAGGCGAUGAUGGGUAGCCGGCCUGAGAGGGUGGUCGGCCACAAGGGGACUGAGACACGGCCGUUACUCCUACGGGAGGCAGCAGUGGGGAAUAUUGGACAAUGGACCAAAGUCUGAUCCAGCAAUUCGGUGUGAACGAUGAAGUUUUCGGAAUGUAAAGUGCUUUCAGUUGGGAAGCGGUACCAACAGAAGAAGUGACGGCUAAAUACGUGCCAGCAGCCGCGGUAAUAC
This 404-nucleotide ribosomal RNA is filed under the name uncultured bacterium. Its description in RNAcentral is "partial 16S ribosomal RNA". It matches the Rfam family "Bacterial small subunit ribosomal RNA", at positions 28 to 526 of the family's 1533-position model. The record is from RNAcentral.